Molecule: ribosomal RNA, 460 nt
Filed under: uncultured bacterium
Lineage: Bacteria
Description: partial 16S ribosomal RNA
Rfam family: Bacterial small subunit ribosomal RNA
Source: RNAcentral
CCUAGGGGAGGCAGCAGUGAGGAAUAUUGGUCAAUGGACGAGAGUCUGAACCAGCCAAGUAGCGUGAAGGAUGACUGCCCUAUGGGUUGUAAACUUCUUUUAUAUGGGAAUAAAACAGGGUAUGCAUACCAUAUUGUAUGUACCAUAUGAAUAAGGAUCGGCUAACUACGAGCCAGCAGCCGCGGUAAUACGGAGGAUCCGAGCGUUAUCCGGAUUUAGUGGGUUUAAAGGGAGCGUAGGUGGAUUGUUAAGUCAGUUGUGAAAGUUUGCGGCUCAACCGUAAAAUUGCAGUUGAAACUGGCAGUCUUGAGUACAGUAGAGGUAGGCGGAAUUCGUGGUGUAGCGGUGAAAUGCUUAGAUAUCACGAAGAACUCCGAUUGCGAAGGCAACUCACUGGACUGCAACUGACACUGAUGCUCGAAAGUGUGGGGAUCAAACAGGAUUAGAUACCCCUGUAGUC